UACGUAGGGUGCGAGCGUUAAUCGGAAUUACUGGGCGUAAAGCGUGCGCAGGCGGUUGUGUAAGACAGAUGUGAAAUCCCCGGGCUCAACCUGGGAACUGCAUUUGUGACUGCAUCGCUGGAGUGCGGCAGAGGGGGAUGGAAUUCCGCGUGUAGCAGUGAAAUGCGUAGAUAUGCGGAGGAACACCGAUGGCGAAGGCAGCCCCCUGGGUUAACACUGACGCUCAUGCACGAAAGCGUGGGGAGCAAACAGGAUUAGAUACCCGGGUAGU
This 271-nucleotide ribosomal RNA is filed under the name uncultured bacterium. RNAcentral describes it as "partial 16S ribosomal RNA". It matches the Rfam family "Bacterial small subunit ribosomal RNA", at positions 524 to 794 of the family's 1533-position model. The record is from RNAcentral.